This 264-nucleotide ribosomal RNA is filed under the name uncultured archaeon. RNAcentral's name for it is "partial 16S ribosomal RNA". It matches the Rfam family "Archaeal small subunit ribosomal RNA", at positions 717 to 982 of the family's 1478-position model. The record is from RNAcentral.
AGACGUCUACAUUAGAUACCCGCGUAGUCCCAGCCGUAAACUAUGCGCGUUAGGUGUAUCGGUGACCACGAGUUACCGAGGUGCCAAAGGGAAACCGUGAAACGUGCCGCCUGGGAAGUACGGUCGCAAGGCUGAAACUUAAAGGAAUUGGCGGGGAGCACCACAACGGGUGGAGCCUGCGGUUUAAUUGGACUCAACGCCGGGAAGCUCACCGGAUAAGACAGCGGAAUGAUUGCCGGGCUGAAGACUCUGCAUGACUAGCUG